This 460-nucleotide ribosomal RNA is filed under the name uncultured bacterium. Its description in RNAcentral is "partial 16S ribosomal RNA". It matches the Rfam family "Bacterial small subunit ribosomal RNA", at positions 338 to 795 of the family's 1533-position model. The record is from RNAcentral.
CCUACGGGAGGCAGCAGUGAGGAAUAUUGGUCAAUGGGCUUACGCCUGAACCAGCCAAGUCGCGUGAGGGAAGACUGCCCUAUGGGUUGUAAACCUCUUUUGUCAGGGAGCAACGCCGGCUACGUGUAGCCGGACUGAGAGUACCUGAAGAAAAAGCAUCGGCUAACUCCGUGCCAGCAGCCGCGGUAAUACGGGGGAUGCGAGCGUUAUCCGGAUUUAUGGGGUGGAAAGGGUGCGUAGGCGGAAUGCCAAGUCAGCGGUAAAAUCGCGGGGCUCAACCUCGCUCCGCCGUUGAAACUGGCGUUCUUGAGUGGGCGAGAAGUAUGCGGAAUGCGUUGUGUAGCGGUGAAAUGCAUAGAUAUCACGCAGAACUCCGAUUGCGAAGGCAGCAUACCGGCGCCCAACUGACGCUGAAGCACGAAAGCGUGGGUAUCGAACAGGAUUAGAUACCCGGGUAGUC